UCCCAGCGUCAACAUCUCGCACGCCAACCAGGAUUCUUAAAGCCAACCUUCUCAAGGAACAGUUUCUCUCUUUUACAUGAGAGCGCCAAAUAUUUUAUUUCCCAACUCGAGUGGGGAAGGAUUUUUAUCGCCUCGUCUUCUUUCUGUUUGAUUUUUUGGCGAACUUUUCCUGCUGCACUAACUGGAAUUUGACUUCUGAUUAUUAGGAGGAAGAAUUUGUUGGAGGAAUAAACUUAAAAACUUCAUCGUUUCUUUCGCUUUUUUUUGUUUCGUUCUUCGCCAAAGUGGUGGAAUUUCUCGUAAAUAUUAAUGUGCGGUAGCUGAGUGAUAUUGCUUUUUUUGUUUCUUUAAAGCACAAUGGUACUUUUGCUGCCGAGUGUGACUGGAUUAUUUUUCUUUGCGUUUUGUGGUUUUACGACAAUGGCUAUGGAUUCUAAUAACGGUGUCCCCGUUCAUUAUGCUGUCGCUGGAGAAAAGGCGGCAAUUCCUUGUAACAUCUCGACGCCGCUGUCAGAUGACCAAGUUUCCCUAAUUUUGUGGUACCGGGUGGACAUGCCAAAUCCUAUUUACACACUGGACAUCCGCAAACGGACGAUCAAAGAAGCCAAACAUUUUCCCAGUCCGGAAAUAAAAGACAGAUCUUACUUCAACAUGGAUAUACAUCCACCGACGCUUAUUCUGGAGCCAGCAAGAGUGGAAGACGAGGCUGAUUACAAAUGUCGAGUGGAUUUAAGAAGGUCGAGGACGCUUAUUUUGCAUACACGUCUUCAUAUCAUAGUUCCCCCUGGGGAUCCAUUUAUCAUGGAUGAACAUGGUCAGCGGUUAAGGGAUAUAAUUGGGCCUUAUGAUGAAGGCGCAUUUCUCACUCUAGCGUGUGAAGUGGAUGGAGGAGAUCCUUCCCCAGAAGUCACGUGGUGGAGAGGUACAACCUUGCUAGACGACAGCUUCAAUGUCACGCCACAAGGAUUUGUGCGAAAUGAACUUUUUCUUUUCGAGCUAAGAAGAUCGGAUUUACUUGCCGAAUUCACGUGCCAAGCAACAAACACUAAUCUUACAAGACCAAGAACAUCAGCAGUUCGCUUGGAUCUAAACUUGAGGCCACUAGAAGUGAAGAUAGCUGCACCCCAUUACCCUCUGAAUGCUGGGAGUCGCAAACAAAUCAUCUGCGAGACCACGGGGUCACGCCCCCGAGCCAUCCUGUCAUGGUGGUUGGAUGGCAAAAAAAUCGGGGCAGGUACAACUGACACAGUGUCCGACGGGGGCAACCUGACUGUCAGCACUCUUCACCUAGUUCCUACCCCUAACGACGAUGGAAAGAUGCUGUCCUGCAGAGCCGAAAAUCCAGCUGUUCCGAAUUCGGCCAUUGAAGACGAGUGGACUAUUCGGGUGCAUUAUGCACCAAUCAUAAGCUUAGCCUUGGGAGCAUCGAUAAGUCCAUCCAACAUCAAAGAAGGAAGUGAUGUAUAUUUGGAAUGCAACAUACGCGCAAAUCCGUGGGUGAGUGAUGUCACAUGGCAAUUCGAAGACCACUAUGUCGUCAGCAAUAAGUCGGCUGGAAUCAUCAUUAGCAAUCAGACAUUAGUGCUUCAAAGCGUGAGGCGGGAACAUCGUGGAAGAUAUCGAUGUCUCGCUGGAAAUUCGGAAGGGCAGAGCGUCAGUGAUUAUCUACAUUUAUUAGUACAAUAUGCACCAGUAUGUAAACUGUCUGAUCCUAAAGUGUAUGGUGUGGCACGCACAGAAGUGGUCAACGUGACUUGCGAAGUAGAAGCCGAUCCGCCGGACGUGAAUUUUCGAUGGGCACUCAACAAUACCCUCGAGGUGGUCAACCUCCAAAAGUGGUGGAGUGAAGGGUCGAGAAGUGUACUCAGUUACACACCUCGGACACUGGCCGGAUACGGACUCUUGCUGUGCUGGGGAAAUAAUGUGAUUGGCGGACAAAGGGAACCAUGUGUAGCCAAAAUUAUACCAGCAGGUGCUCCUGAAUCUCCAAGAGAUUGUGCAGUCACGAACCAGUCAUCCCACUCACUGUCUGUUGAAUGCGAACCAGGAUAUGAUGGCGGACUGAGCCAGACAUUUCACUUAGAAUUAUACAACUCUGUGGUCGAGCACUUGGCAGCCAAUCUGACAAGAACUGAUGCACCAGCAUUCAAAGUCCAUGCUCUACCUCCAGGUACAGCAUUUGUUCUGGUUUUGUAUGCAUCGAAUGGGAAAGGAAAAAGCAACUCAGUGGCACUCAUGGCUUCGACAUUGCCUCCACCUGAAAGACGAACAGCAGAGGAAGACGUGGCAACUGUUAGUCCGAUACUUGGCAUUCUCAUUGGCGUAGUUGCUGUCUUAGUGGUGGUUGCCAUAAUUAUUAUCAUCAUCGUCAGAAUUCAAAGCUCAAAGAGACUUUCUAAAGACUCAGCAGUCCAAGAUGAAUCGAUUAGGUGUGAAACUCCCUUGAAGAAAGAAUUAGAAGAUAGCCAAGAAGACAGAAAGGGCCCUGACAUUAUUCCAUUUGCCAAUGAAACGGAAGUUUAUUUUACUGGUAGUGCUAGUGAACAAAUGAGACAGAUUCGCUCAAUACAUAAGCUCGCAGGAUCUCCAACGGAGCUGUGCCAAAGGACUACCGAUACUCGGUUAUAGCAAACGUCAGAGAAUAUUUUAAAUAUCUCUUUUAAAGGCUUCCAGGGAUUUUUCAUUCAUUCAUCAUCCAAUCCAUCCAUAGAUGAAUUGUCGGACACUGUGUGAAUAUUUUGCUGAGGAAAACAUUGAUUUCGUUCAGUGGAUUCACCCAAUCAAAUUCGUGUGAUGCAGAGUGAUUUUAUCUAAAGAAAAGUGUUUUUUAAGAAAGACUCAUCUUGUUGUUAGACUUUUAUGUAACAUAAGAAAAAGGACAAAAGGAUCUUUUUCAUCCGCCAAAGAGUAUGUAUUGCGAAUAAAAAGAUACAAUAAUACUUGGUUUCCUUAUUUCAAGACAUCCAUAACAUCAAUAUAAACAAAGAAAUCAGAAUGCAUCUGAAGUGCUCCAAAAACCACUUCAAGACUUCAAAGACUGUCUUUAUGUCAAUUUCACCAUUCUGCAAGAAUUUAAAAGAUAUCAGAAGAAAAAGUGGUGUAAUAUUUCUCUUCCUCAGUAUUUCCUUUCCAUCCCUUCUUUUUCAACUUUGAAUUUCAGAGAUGUUGUUCAAGCUGUAUCGGAUAAGUGUGUUGGAUAUAAAUUUAUGUGUAUAUCACGGUAUUGUAUAACAAAUGCAUUCAUGAGAUGUGAUCAAAUAGGGAAUCAGAUAGCACAUAGUGAUUUUUAAUUUAUUAUUAAAUAUUUUCUUUGGUUUGGGAUCACAUGAUUUAUAAUUUUUUAUAAGACUAAUUAUUAAAAUUGAAAAUCCAUUUUAACCUCCAAUUUUGGUACUAUGCAGACCAUGUGAAAUAAUCAAUUGCAUGGA
Molecule: RNA transcript, 3428 nt
Organism: Argiope bruennichi
Lineage: Eukaryota; Metazoa; Arthropoda; Arachnida; Araneae; Araneidae
Gene name: nephrin-like
Exons: 14
Source: RefSeq, a predicted model, not a curated record